GUUUACUCUAACGUAAAGCCCUCCGAUUUCGUCUUGCAGAAGAAAAGUCAGUGCAGAGACAUCAGAAUGGCGACCUACGCCUAUUGUGAGGUUCGGAUUUGGACAUCUUGGAUAGUAGUUUAGGUUAAUUCUUUUCGAACCCAUUAGUAAAGAUUCUUUCUUUUCAUCUAUUUCUUUCACGUUCAAUCUCUCCAUUAAAACACCCAUUAGCUUCUUGCAGAGGAUUUCUGAUCUUUUCAUGUAUUCCAAGCAUUCAUCCCUAUACCAGAAAAUCAACAAUUAGUAUUAGUUUGUUAGUAAUUUUGUUCGAAGCAUAAGCUGACUCAAGAAAAGAAGAAUAAAUAAAUAAAGCAGAGUUCAGUUGAGUUUAAAAAUAAUUACUUGCAAGCAGAAGGCCACAAAGCAGAAGCUUCAUCUUCAGAGACAUAAAAAAGGCUAAGAUAAUCUUUCCAUUCAAGUGCCUUCUCAGCAUCAGGACUAAAGCUUGUACCGAACCUGACAUUAUUAGUAGAUGAAAGCUCCUUAGAGUAAUUCCUCUUAACUUCAGCUGGUAGCCCAAAGAAACGAUGUGUCGCAUCCUUAACACCGUCAAGAACCUCAAGUGGGACUCCAUGGUUAACCAAUUGGAAGAACCCAUACUUCUCUGCAGCAUCACAAAUGGACUCAGCAACUUUAGGGUCACUAUCCCAAUUGGACAUGUCAAUAACAGGAAUUGAUUCAUGAGGUAUGAUAUUAAUCAACGCUUCUUGGGGUUGAAUAUAUUGCUUCGGAAGGCUUUUGAGACCCAAAUCUGAAAGACCCUUCACUCCAUUUCCUUUGUUAAUCACAAAAUCAGUNNNNNNNNNNNNNNNNNGUUCGGAUUUGGACAUCUUGGAUAGUAGUUUAGGUUAAUUCUUUUCGAACCCAUUAGUAAAGAUUCUUUCUUUUCAUCUAUUUCUUUCACGUUCAAUCUCUCCAUUAAAACACCCAUUAGCUUCUUGCAGAGGAUUUCUGAUCUUUUCAUGUAUUCCAAGCAUUCAUCCCUAUACCAGAAAAUCAACAAUUAGUAUUAGUUUGUUAGUAAAUUUGUUCGAAGCAUAAGCUGACUCAAGAAAAGAAGAAUAAAUAAAUAAAGCAGAGUUCAGUUGAGUUUAAAAAUAAUUACUUGCAAGCAGAAGGCCACAAAGCAGAAGCUUCAUCUUCAGAGACAUAAAAAAGGCUAAGAUAAUCUUUCCAUUCAAGUGCCUUCUCAGCAUCGGGACUAAAGCUUGUACCAAACCUGACAUUAUUAGUAGAUGAAAGCUCCUUAGAGUAAUUCCUCUUAACUUCCGCUGGUAGCCCAAAGAAACGAUGUGUCGCAUCCUUAACACCGUCAAGAACCUCAAGUGGGACUCCAUGGUUAACCAAUUGGAAGAACCCAUACUUCUCUGCAGCAUCACAAAUGGACUCAGCAACUUUAGGGUCACUAUCCCAAUUGGACAUGUCAAUAACAGGAAUUGAUUCAUGAGGUAUAAUAUUAAUCAACGCUUCUUGGGGUUGAAUAUAUUGCUUUGGAAGGCUUUUGAGACCCAAAUCUGAAAGACCCUUCACUCCAUUUCCUUUGUUAAUCACAAAAUCAGUCAGAUCAAAGGAAUCAGUGGACAUUGUUGGAGCCAUUUCUUCUUCAACUAGUUAAAAGAAAGUAAUUGAUUGAGGGAGAAUAAUAGCUCUUAAUAUUAGUAUAUGAAGUAAGAAGAAAAUGAAAAUGGUAGAGGUGGUACCGGUGACAAUCAAAGUAUUAUCCAUUGCUAUUUAUAGCUUCUCUUCCUUGAUGAUUAAAACAAAUGUGGACUGCUAUGGUAUUUCUUUACAAUUUUUCUUUUGUUAACUAUAAUAAAAAAAUUAAAAUAAGUAACUUACCUACCCAUUUUGUUCACUUGCCUACCUUCUUCCAAGUUUAGUCUAAUUAGGACCAAUUUUUUAUAAGACCAACUGCUUUCUUAUUUUAAAUCCCUCAGUGCACCACUAAUUGUUUGACUGAGUUUGGGAUAUUUAUAAUGAAUAUGAUUUUGGCAUGUUAAUGUUAUGGCCAAAAUAAUAAUUUGUUAUUACUAUUUUAUCAUAGUUUUGUAAAUUGUUAACAACAAAUUAAAUAAAUAAAUAUCUCCAAUUUAUUUUUUAUUUGCAUCUAAAUAUUAACCCAUUUUUUAUCUCAAAAAAAAAAAAAAAAAAUAUAUAUAUAUAUAUACCGUUAGAUUAAAAGAAAAGAUUUACAAUUUAUUCCAUCUAUGGUUUCUUAACAUUUCAUGUCCAAAUAAAACAUUACGCAGAGCAACGUUUUAUUAACAAUUAAAAGAGUGUAAUCAUUAAGCAUUAUCUUAAAAAUUAUUGUUGAGCAAAUGCCAAAUGCUAUACAUAAAAUAUAGUAAUAAAAAUAAUAAAGAGCAUCAUUUAAAUAGUGUUAAAAUAAGUACUUUUUUUCCUCUUCUUCGUUUCUUUGUACCUAAUUUUUUUUACAUCAUUCCUCUCUUAUUUCUUCUUCUUUUUCAGUUUCUUUUUUCUUGUUCUCCUUCAUCUUCUUUUUUCAUUUUCAUGUCCUUCAUUUUUUGUUUUCUCUCUCUUUUUUAAGUUCUUUAUUCUUCCUAAAGUCUCUUCUUUUGUUUUUAUUUUUUUUUAGUUUUAAUUAAUUUUUCUCGUAUUAGCUUAAGCUCCAUUUGUUUCCGUAAAAUAACUUGCUGGAAAACAUUUUCAUGAAAAACAUUUUGCUUGAAAAAUAUUUUUCAAAUGACUUACUUUAUGUUGUUUGGUUGUAAUAUUGAAAAUUAGUUAAAAAUAUUAAAGUUUUUAUCUCAUAAUACCAUAAAAAAUAUUAAUAAUAAUAAAAAUUUUAUAAUUUAAAAAUUUUAUUGUUAAAUAUGAAAAGAAUGCAAAUAUAUAUAUAUAUAUAUAUAUNNNNNNNNNNNNNNNNNNNNNNNNNNNNNNNNNNNNNNNNNNNNNNNNNNNNNNNNNNNNNNNNNNNNNNCCCGUCAGUGGUCAAAUUUAAAUGGUGACUGGUGGUAGUGACUAUGAUGAUCAAUAAAUUUAAAAUAUGGAUGAUCAAUAAAUAAAUAUGGUGAUUAUCCGAAAAUUUUUUUACUCUCUCGAAAAUGGGAAGUUGUUUUUCUUAAAAAAUAACUUAAUUUUCCUUUAACCUGGAAAAUAUUUUCAGUUUAGUUAUUUUCCCGAGUGCCCGAAACAACGAAAAAUUGUGGAAAAUAUUUUCUUGUAAGUUAUAUUAUAGAAAUAAAUGGAUUAGUUAUAAAAUUUUAGAUGAUAUAAUUAAUAAAUAUAAUUGGUUUAAUCAAUUUUAUCAUUAAUUAAUGAUAAUCAAUUAAUAAAAUAUUUUAAAUUUUUAAAAUAUCUACUAAUUUAGCAACUGAUUAAAAACAAAUAAUUAAUAUUCGCAAACAUAUUGUCAAAACAGAAACAAAAGGGGAUUUGUAAUUAACAAAGGCAAAUUUCUAGAAGUUGGCCAUUGCUAGCCCGCCUGCAAACUUACCAGCUGCCGCAAGUAAUUGAGUAGAGCAGGUUUCUUUAAACUUCCUAAUUAAUUCAAGCAAAUCUGAUUCAUAAAUGUCAGUAAUGACUAUAAAUAAAUUAAUAAACUUUUUCUUUUCUGGUUUUUUAACCAUGCGGUGUCCGUAGAAGACUAGCCCGACUAUAAUUUAUCAUUUUCUCUCUUUAGUUUUUCCAACUUAGUUUGCAGUUUGAGUUACUCAUUGAUCCAUUUAAUUAAUUAAUUAUUCACAUUACUGGACUGCUCUAGACUAGCAAUUUAAUAAAAAUUGGUAGAACCAACGCACAUGCUUGUUUUAAAAAAAGAAAUUUUGUAUCUCUCUAGCAAUUUCUGUCCUGUCCACCAAUUGCUUUCCAACUUACAAAGAAUCUGCAUAUAAAAAAAAAAAAAAAAAAAAAAAAAAAAAAAAACUCCUUUCUCCAUCUCUAUGUAAAUCAAUUAAAUUAAGUACUUAAAAGCUUUCUUCCAGAUCGAUCAAAUGGUUGGUGGAUCUCUAAACAAUGUUGCAUUAAUUAAUAAAUGCCAGAUGCCUGGAAUUUGUUGGUCAAUUUCUCAGUAUCUUGAGGAGAAGAUCAAUUCACCUAAUUAAUCUACUGUUUUUAGUUGCCUUUUAUCUGGGAAACAAGCAUUCAAGAUUACCUUUCUUUCAUUGCAAAUUUAUUAAAAAUCAUAUCAUCCUUUCUUUCGAUAGAAUAAUUCUACCACGUAUUCUUUGAGUAAAUAAUUUAAUUCAAAAACUAUCUAUUUUUGGUAUGUAUCUUAUAAAGUAAACCAAUGGAGUUUUGGUUGAAGCGGUAAGUAACUUUAAAUAUAUAUGGAUGAGAGGGUAAAAAACCUAUAAAUUAGAGGGAAAAAUAGAUUUUUUUUAAUAUUAAUUUGACUAUAAAUUAGAGAUGAAUUUAUAUUUUUUCUAUAAUAUUAUUUGCUCUAUGUUUUGCCUAAAAUAUGCCUAAUUGAAGAAUAAGUCUAAUGAAUCAAAAGAGACUAUCUAUUUCUUACGAAAACGAAUAGACCAAAGUGAUUCCUGCUUCUCUAUAUGUACUUGUUUUGUGUUGGAUACUCAUUGGUGUAUUCAGGAUGAGCCUAUUGGCUCAGGAUCAUCGUUGGUUGCAUGAUUUACGUAGUUGACAAUCUUAUUUUAUUAAUUAAGUUCCAAUUUCAAGUUCAUAAAAAUAACCCAAAACACACCUGCAGAGGUGAAUUAUAGUUCUCUAAUCAUAGGGUUCCGAUACACUGGUUUACAAAAAAAAAAAAAAAAAGAAAAAAAACCAUAAAGUAUUGUGAAAAAAUUUAAUCUGAAUUAGCGUGUCACUGUCAACUAACACGAAUACAGCCACGAUAGUUCCAACUUGUAAAAAUAAUUAAAAUUACAUUCUUGUUUCUAUUUCUAAAGGAAAAAGAAAAAGAACAACAGUUAUUAAUUCUUAUUUUUAACAAAUCUGAAAUUUUAUUCAAUAAAGAUUAUAUGAUUACGGCAUUAUUAACAGUGACACAAACUAUUACUACAUUCAUAAUAUAACAGUUGUAGUAAAAUUAUUUAGCAACAGCAAAGUCAACAGUCUUCUUCCCAUCAUGAGCCUUUCUGAAGAAAUGCUUGACAUAAUCAGAAUAAAGGAUGUUUUUGUAUUUAGGCUUCUCUCCACUUGCAAGAACUUCAGGCAAAGGACCGAUCACAUCACUCGGCUUUGGAUUAACAAAAAUCGGAAUUGAGAUUCUGUUUUUGCUUCCACUAGCAAUUACACAGUGCUCUAUACUCUUAUAUCGACCGUUGCUUAAUAUCUGCAGUGCAUCUCCUACAUUGAUAACGAGUGAGCCUUCAAUAGGAGGAACAUGAACCCAUCCAUCUUCUUCUCCUUUUCCUUCGUUUACUCUAACGUAAAGCCCUCCGAUUUCGUCUUGCAGAAGAAAAGUCAGUGCAGAGACAUCAGAAUGGCGACCUACGCCUAUUGUGAGAUUAGGAUUUGGACAUCUUGGAUAGUAGUUUAGGUUAAUCCUUUUGGAACCCAUUAGUAAAGAUUCUUUCUUGUCGUCUAUUUCUUUCACGUUCAAUCUCUCCAUUAAAGCACCCAUUAGCUUCUUGCAC
RNAcentral lists this long non-coding RNA (5597 nucleotides) under Jatropha curcas. Its description in RNAcentral is "long non-coding RNA (JCUR_LNC000972)". Lineage: Eukaryota; Viridiplantae; Streptophyta; Magnoliopsida; Malpighiales; Euphorbiaceae. The record is from RNAcentral.